This 254-nucleotide ribosomal RNA is filed under the name uncultured bacterium. RNAcentral's name for it is "partial 16S ribosomal RNA". It matches the Rfam family "Bacterial small subunit ribosomal RNA", at positions 526 to 779 of the family's 1533-position model. The record is from RNAcentral.
CGUAGGGUACGAGCGUUGUCCGGAAUUAUUGGGCGUAAAGAGCUCGUAGGUGGUUGGUCACGUCUGCUGUGGAAACGCAACGCUUAACGUUGCGCGUGCAGUGGGUACGGGCUGACUAGAGUGCAGUAGGGGAGUCUGGAAUUCCUGGUGUAGCGGUGAAAUGCGCAGAUAUCAGGAGGAACACCGGUGGCGAAGGCGGGACUCUGGGCUGUAACUGACACUGAGGAGCGAAAGCAUGGGGAGCGAACAGGAUU